AGAGACUUUUGUGGACCUCUUAUCCUGUUGAGUAGUUAUGUUGAAUGCAUUCCACUUUCGAACUAUGGAUAGCAACUAUGUAUUCUGUAAUCUGUUCAAAAUAAACAAAUUUAGUCUGUAACUUAAUAUCCAAAUAGGCCCUUAAGAUAAUCAAGUUAGGCCAAAUCGUCAAAGUAGUCCACUUACACUUUGUUAUUUGAUGACUAAUAAGUAAGCAAAAGAGUCAUAUAUCUCAAAUGUUAUGCUUAACAGCAGUUAGGGAUUUGAUUUUGAGCUAUCAAUAUUGACACACAAAUACUAAAAAUGUGCAUGAAGAAAUAGUGUGGUGGCACUUUUUCUACCCAGACCCACCAAUGGACUGAACCAAUCCAAAAUAAUGGUUCUGGUUGAGGGCAUUUUACAAUUUGAGUUGGUAUGAGCUAGUCAAGACCAUCCCAAUUAUAAAUGGGUCAGGUAUGGGUUUGGUCCUUCGAACUGAUGGGUCACCAUGGGUUCAAAAGAUCCUUAAAAUCCAUCCCCAAACUUGUAGAAUGGUAGUAAUUAUGUAAUAUACUGUCACAAUCAAGGAUUGGUUUGAAUGAUUAGGAAGGCUGCAUAAAUAAUGGUUAAGAGAAUAAAAAAAUAUAUCGAAAAGAGAAGUGGAGGGAAUGGAGUGUUUAGGUACUGUAAUGUUUUCUUCUCCACUUUAAUUCCUUCACAAUGUUUUCUCACUUUGUUUGGAUGCCCACCCUAGAUCCCUUUUCGGCUGUUUUUUGUUGUCAAUUACUAAGGUAUAUAAUUGACAAGCAAAAGCACUAAUUGGAUUGGUGGUUUGGGUAUAGGUUAAUAUAAAAUCAAAUGUGUUGGCUAUGGGUUUAUAUUUUUCAACCUAAUUAUAAAUGGGUCAUGUAUAUGGCGAGGAUUUUUUGGCCCAACCCUAAUUUAACUCCAUAGGGGUCCCAUCUUGAUCCAUUGCCACCCAUAUUAGAGAUAGAUGGCCAAUCCUAGUAGCAUGAAUCAAGAAGCUGCAUUAUCAUCAAAACAUCACAACACCACAUGAUGCUAACAUUGGCCAUAAGGCCAAGUCAAACACUAGAGCUAAGGAGGCAUAACUAGAAUACAAAAGAUGUCGUGAAGGGAUAAGUAACAGCAAUACAAU
RNAcentral lists this long non-coding RNA (1138 nucleotides) under Phoenix dactylifera (date palm). RNAcentral describes it as "long non-coding RNA (PDAC_LNC003168)". Lineage: Eukaryota; Viridiplantae; Streptophyta; Magnoliopsida; Arecales; Arecaceae. The record is from RNAcentral.